This 849-nucleotide ribosomal RNA is filed under the name uncultured bacterium. RNAcentral's name for it is "bacterial SSU rRNA". It matches the Rfam family "Archaeal small subunit ribosomal RNA", at positions 58 to 903 of the family's 1478-position model. The record is from RNAcentral.
UCAUGGGGCGCUCUGCGCGCACCGGACGGACGGCUCAGUAACACGUCGGUAACCUACCCUCGGGAGGGGGAUAACCCCGGGAAACUGGGGCUAAUCCCCCAUAGGCCUGAGGUACUGGAAGGUCCUCAGGCCGAAAGGGGCUCUGCCCGCCCGAGGAUGGGCCGGCGGCCGAUUAGGUAGUUGGUGGGGUAAUGGCCCACCAAGCCGAAGAUCGGUACGGGCCAUGAGAGUGGGAGCCCGGAGAUGGACACUGAGACACGGGUCCAGGCCCUACGGGGCGCAGCAGGCGCGAAACCUCCGCAAUGCGGGAAACCGCGACGGGGGGACCCCCAGUGCCGUGGCAUCGCCACGGCUUUUCCGGAGUGUAAAGAGCUCCGGGAAUAAGGGCUGGGCAAGGCCGGUGGCAGCCGCCGCGGUAAUACCGGCGGCCCGAGUGGUGGCCGCUAUUAUUGGGCCUAAAGCGUCCGUAGCCGGGCCCGUAAGUCCCUGGCGAAAUCCCACGGCUCAACCGUGGGGCUUGCUGGGGAUACUGCGGGCCUUGGGACCGGGAGAGGCGGAGGGUACCCCUGGGGUAGGGGUGAAAUCCUAUAAUCCCAGGGGGGCCGCCAGUGGCGAAGGCGCUCCGCUGGAACGGGUCCGACGGUGAGGGACGAAGGCCAGGGGAGCGAACCGGAUUAGAUACCCGGGUAGUCCUGGCUGUAAAGGAUACGGGCUAGGUGUCGGGCGAGCUUCGAGCUCGCCCGGUGCCGAAGGGAAGCCGUUAAGCCCGCCGCCUGGGGAGUACGGCCGCAAGGCUGAAACUUAAAGGAAUUGGCGGGGGAGCACUACAAGGGGUGGAGCGUGCGGCUU